Odontomachus brunneus is the source of this 507-nucleotide long non-coding RNA. RefSeq lists it as uncharacterized. The record is from RefSeq and is a predicted model, not a curated record. The transcript is spliced from 3 exons. NCBI's taxonomy places the organism in Eukaryota, Metazoa, Arthropoda, Insecta, Hymenoptera, Formicidae.
CUCUUUCUCCCAGUUAUUACGUUUCGAGUCGACGAGCAACGUACACAUACCGCAACGCGGAGCAUAUAUAACGGCGCGUUAAUUAUCAUUCCCGUUGGAUCUUGAAAUAUUUAAUAUAACUCUCGUCGGUAUCGCGUUAAUUAACACACAUUUCGAUCGAAUCGUACCUACGUGGGUGUCAGUGCUACUCUGGGGAGCUACAGCCGAGACUCAGGGUGCUGGAUUGUAAAGCCAGAAUUUUGGGACGUAGCCUGCAAUAUAUCGUGUACUUCCAGAUCUGGUCUAGAAUGCUGUUCUGAAUGCGAUUCCGGAGAAUUCAGAUGCAGUACCGGAGGAUCCGGUUCAGGCAUAGCGAAUUUGACUUGAGGAUCUGGUAGCUGAAGUAGCUGGGAUGAAUGUCAAAGUAUCGGUGAGUCACUUGUGUGAACUUGGCACACCAUAUUUAAAAAUGUGACAUUUUUUUUAGAGUUCUGAUACUCUCUUGAAAAGUUCUAGAGCUCUUUGCAA